UACGUAGGGUGCAAGCGUUAAUCGGAAUUACUGGGCGUAAAGCGUGCGCAGGCGGCUUUGCAAGACAGAUGUGAAAUCCCCGGGCUUAACCUGGGAACUGCAUUUGUGACUGCAUGGCUGGAGUGCGGCAGAGGGGGAUGGAAUUCCGCGUGUAGCAGUGAAAUGCUUAGAUAUGACACAGAACACCGAUUGCGAAGGCAGCUCAUUAAACUGUAACUGACGCUGAGGCACGAAAGCGUGGGGAGCAAACAGG
This 253-nucleotide ribosomal RNA is filed under the name uncultured bacterium. Its description in RNAcentral is "partial 16S ribosomal RNA". It matches the Rfam family "Bacterial small subunit ribosomal RNA", at positions 524 to 776 of the family's 1533-position model. The record is from RNAcentral.